This 204-nucleotide ribosomal RNA is filed under the name uncultured bacterium. RNAcentral's name for it is "partial 16S ribosomal RNA". It matches the Rfam family "Bacterial small subunit ribosomal RNA", at positions 524 to 724 of the family's 1533-position model. The record is from RNAcentral.
UACGGAGGAUCCAAGCGUUUAUCCGGAUUUAUUGGGUUUAAAGGGUGCGUAGGUGGCUUUUUAAGUUCAGGGGUGAAGGACGGUAAGCUUAACUAUCGCAGUUGCCUUUGAUACUGAAGUAGCUUGAAUGAACUAGAGGUAGGCGGAAUGUGACAGUAGCGGUGAAAUGCAUAGAUAUGUCACAGAACACCAAUUGCGAAGCAG